This 521-nucleotide ribosomal RNA is filed under the name Thelonectria asiatica. RNAcentral describes it as "SSU rRNA". It matches the Rfam family "Eukaryotic small subunit ribosomal RNA", at positions 65 to 590 of the family's 1831-position model. The record is from RNAcentral. Lineage: Eukaryota; Fungi; Ascomycota; Sordariomycetes; Hypocreales; Nectriaceae.
AUAAGCAAUUAUACAGCGAAACUGCGAAUGGCUCAUUAUAUAAGUUAUCGUUUAUUUGAUAGUACCUUACUACUUGGAUAACCGUGGUAAUUCUAGAGCUAAUACAUGCUAAAAAUCCCGACUUCGGAAGGGAUGUAUUUAUUAGAUUAAAAACCAAUGGCCUCCGGGGCUCCUUGGUGAUUCAUGAUAACUCCUCGAAUCGCAUGGCCUUGCGCCGGCGAUGGUUCAUUCAAAUUUCUUCCCUAUCAACUUUCGAUGUUUGGGUAUUGGCCAAACAUGGUUGCAACGGGUAACGGAGGGUUAGGGCUCGACCCCGGAGAAGGAGCCUGAGAAACGGCUACUACAUCCAAGGAAGGCAGCAGGCGCGCAAAUUACCCAAUCCCGACACGGGGAGGUAGUGACAAUAAAUACUGAUACAGGGCUCUUUUGGGUCUUGUAAUUGGAAUGAGUACAAUUUAAAUCCCUUAACGAGGAACAAUUGGAGGGCAAGUCUGGUGCCAGCAGCCGCGGUAAUUCCAGCU